This 245-nucleotide ribosomal RNA is filed under the name uncultured bacterium. Its description in RNAcentral is "partial 16S ribosomal RNA". It matches the Rfam family "Bacterial small subunit ribosomal RNA", at positions 524 to 767 of the family's 1533-position model. The record is from RNAcentral.
GACGAAGGUGGCUAGCGUUGUUCGGAAUCACUGGGCUUAAAGGGCACGCAGGCGGCCCGUCAAGCACCUUGUGAAAUCCCUCGGCCCAACCGAGGAAUGGCGAGGUGGACUGAUCGGGCUUGAGGCAGGUAGGGGCGAGUGGAACUCUUGGUGGAGCGGUGGAAUGCGUAGAUAUCAAGAGGAACGCCGGAGGCGAAAGCGGCUCGCUGGGCCUGUCCUGACGCUCAGGUGCGAAAGCCAGGGGA